GGCCACAUCACGGUGAAGCAUUGGUUCCCGUAAGAUCCACAGAAGUUAAGCCAUUUCAAGCCUGGUCAGUACCAAGAUGAGUGACCGCUUGGGAAUGCCAGGUGCUGCAAG
This is a non-coding RNA of Acanthosepion pharaonis, 111 nucleotides long. NCBI's taxonomy places the organism in Eukaryota, Metazoa, Mollusca, Cephalopoda, Sepiida, Sepiidae. The record is from the annotation of a GenBank genome assembly.